CGCCCAUCGCCGACGGCGCUGCUUCUCCGCCGACCGUCGCUUCCCCUGCCGCCUACUCUGCUACUCUAUUCUCUGAUGACACGAGGUGGUAGUAGAGCUGGACGCAUAAGAGGACUUGGACGAGGUGCAUCGAUUACACCUCCGAGUUCUAACCCAUCAUCGUCUGCACCUCCGAGUUGAGAUGGAGGCUCGGAUGGAAGCUAAACUACAAGCUGAAAGAACUUAAAUGCAGAGGCCUAAAUGCAGGCUCAAAUGCAAGCUUAGAUUCAUGCUCAAAUGCAAGUUCAGAUUGCAAGUUUGAUGGAUCACUUGCGUCGCAAACGGCAUGCUAUCCACUCCAAGUACUCAAGCUGAAAAUUCUGCUAAUUCAAAUGAUGAAAAUUUAGGAGAUGAUUAGAUUAUGUUUAUUAAUAUAUUUGGUAUUGUUUCUAACGAUGUAACAUUAUACUGCUAUACUUUUGUUAUUGUAAUUGAGUUUGAAUGCUUUAAUAUAAUAUAUUUUACAAUUAUAUUA
This is a long non-coding RNA of Ipomoea nil (Japanese morning glory), 514 nucleotides long. RefSeq lists it as uncharacterized. The transcript has 2 exons. NCBI's taxonomy places the organism in Eukaryota, Viridiplantae, Streptophyta, Magnoliopsida, Solanales, Convolvulaceae. The record is from RefSeq and is a predicted model, not a curated record.